UACGGAGGGUGCAAGCGUUAUCCGGAUUCACUGGGUUUAAAGCGUGUGUAGGCGGGCCCGUAAGUGUGUUGUGAAAUCCCACGGCUCAACCGUGGAACUGCUGGGCAUACUGCGGGUCUUGGGCCAACUAGGGGCAGCCGGAACAAGCGGUGGAGCGGUGAAAUGCGUAGAUAUCGCUUGGAACGCCGAAGGUGAAAACAGGCUGCUGGGGUUGCGCCGACGCUGAGACACGAAAGCCAGGGGAGCAAACGGG
This 253-nucleotide ribosomal RNA is filed under the name uncultured bacterium. RNAcentral's name for it is "partial 16S ribosomal RNA". It matches the Rfam family "Bacterial small subunit ribosomal RNA", at positions 524 to 776 of the family's 1533-position model. The record is from RNAcentral.